RNAcentral lists this long non-coding RNA (278 nucleotides) under Sarcophilus harrisii (Tasmanian devil). RNAcentral's name for it is "lncRNA (ENSSHAG00000024163.1)". The record is from RNAcentral. Lineage: Eukaryota; Metazoa; Chordata; Mammalia; Dasyuromorphia; Dasyuridae.
CAUCUCUGAUUAAUUUUACUUUUGCAGCCUCUCUUGUUCAUUUCACUUCUGAAGUAUCUCUUGUCCAUUUCCCCUUUGCAGCAUCUCUUGUCCUUUUCAUCUCUGCAGCAUCUCUUUUCUAUUUCCCCUUUGCAGCAUCUUUUGUUCAUUUUCUCUUUGUAGCAUUUCUUGCCCAUUUCCCCUUUGCAACAUCUCUGAUCAAUUUUACCUUUGCAGCAUCUCUAGUUUUCCCUUUGUAGCAUUUCUAGCCCAUCUGCAACAUCUCUGAUUAAUUUUUG